RNAcentral lists this non-coding RNA (27 nucleotides) under Gallus gallus (chicken). Lineage: Eukaryota; Metazoa; Chordata; Aves; Galliformes; Phasianidae. RNAcentral also lists the same sequence under 7 other names. The record is from RNAcentral.
GUACGUAGCAGAGCAGCUCCCUCGCUG